UGGGGAAUAUUGGACAAUGGGCGCAAGCCUGAUCCAGCAAUGCCGCGUGGGUGAAGAAGGUCUUCGGAUUGUAAAGCCCUUUCGACAGGGACAAUGAUGACGGUACCUGUAGAAGAAGCCCCGGCUAACUUCGUGCCAGCAGCCGCGGUAAUACGAAGGGGACUAGCGUUGCUCGGAAUUACUGGGCGUAAAGGGCGCGUAGGCGGCGCUGUUAGUCAGGCGUGAAAUUCCUGGGCUCAACCUGGGGACUGCGCUUGAUACGGCAGUGCUAGAGGAUGGAAGAGGCUCGCGGAAUUCCCAGUGUAGAGGUGAAAUUCGUAGAUAUUGGGAAGAACACCGGUGGCGAAGGCGGCGAGCUGGUCCAUUACUGACGCUGAGGCGCGACAGCGUGGGGAGCAAA
RNAcentral lists this ribosomal RNA (400 nucleotides) under uncultured bacterium. RNAcentral's name for it is "bacterial SSU rRNA". It matches the Rfam family "Bacterial small subunit ribosomal RNA", at positions 355 to 772 of the family's 1533-position model. The record is from RNAcentral.